UCUAGCAAUCACGCCGUUUCUCGCUUUCUAUAGCGUAGGCGCUGUAUAGCAUUGCCAGAUCUGUUUGGCAGGCAGAAUUCCGUCAAUUCUGAUCCUACGCGUGAACCAUCAUCGGGUUCACGCUUUCAGGCUGAUCGACAAGCCAGCGCAUGCUUCCUGUGGAUCUUUUUUUUGUGCUCUAACCGCUUCCCCGAGAGCAGUAGUUUCUAGUGUACGGAGCCCAAAACAUGUGAAAUCUAAAAUUCCCUACUGUACCGUCGUCGACGCCGGCGCCACAGCGGAGCUGGCCGCAACGAAAAAGCUCGCAAAGUGCGCGUGGCUAAAGCCACGAUACAGCUUUAUGGCUGCAGCUCCCGAGAUAUAUCGACCUUGGAGAGACGGAACCACGAAGCUGGUCGAUAAAGCAGGACACAAUAUAACAGCCGCUACAGGACAACCACCUGAGCAAGAAUUCUUCCGGCAGCGGAAUAUCCAGAUUCAAAGAGACAACGCGUUGUGUGUCAUGGGCACAACACGGACCACGAAAAAUUAGAGGAAAUACUUUAGUGUGGCCUCUUCUUAAGUGCUGUUGUCUGCAGUAAGUAGUUGCUCGCUAAAAUGAAUUAAUAAAUAGUUUUGCGUGUUGAAGUAACAAAAACGCUGACUGAACAACCCCGCCCACUCCACAUGCCGAUGGCGAAUGGCAAUUGCACAGUCUUCAAAUAUUUCACAGGCAUCGUUCGCUGUGACAGACCACAUGUUAAAUUUGAAAUUUUUAUUAGUGUAAAACCGCGCAGGCGCAUUAUUAUAUGUACUGACUGUUGUCGAAUAAAAAUGACUUGUGCUAAAUGUGUAGAACGGCAUAACUACUAAGUCAGCCCUGCUGCUCACUCAAUGCGCGCAGACGCGGCGCAGUUAACGUAUGGGUCCCCGAAUUCUAGAGUAGAAGACACGUUUUUCUGGUUUCUACAAUAGUCGCAAUAUUUAUUUGAGAAUGAUGAACCAUUCAACAGUUUAAAUGCAAGUCUCGAUGUCAAGAAAUCGAUUGGAAGUUUGGCAAUAACGAUUUGUUGCAUUGUUCCGGCGCGCCAUGCGCAAGGUCCGCCAGGGUUUUUGCAAAGAUGAAGAUUGUUAUAUAUAUUGUCGUUCAGACUUCUAGCUGUCUCCGGUGGAAAGAUUGUACCAGUACUAAUAAUUUUGCAGGCUAAAAACAGGAUGAUUUGAAUCAAAUGGCCUAAUGCCUUAGUGGGUGUUGGAUAACAGGGCUGUGGAAUGUGGAUAGCGUUUGUGCCAGAUCCACACCAGUUACUCCAGAUGUCUGUACAUGACUAUGGAUAAUUUCCAUUACUUCGUGCUGUAAAGCAUUUAAGCAGGAGGUAUACUCCAUCUGGAGCGCUUCCAGUUUGCUAACUGGCCCCAGUUAGCUGAAGGUUGACAUACUUUAGAGCUUCAGUUGUCUUCCAGCUUCGGUUGCAGUAUAAACAACCCUCAGCUUGUCUGCAACCGAGGGCGACUGCACUUGCUCCGGUUCGAAACUGACAUCAAAACUAAUGAAAUGAACGUGUUCAAUUUUUAUUGUGUACUGGAGCCCGCGCUGAAUUUCUUUUUGUAGCAUUUGAUAAUAAUUUUGAUUGCGCAUGGUUCUAGAUCGAAUUUCUCUUGUAAAAACGUUUCUGAUUAUUCCUGAUCUCUGGACUCAUACUUUAUUCAAUUUAUUCCGUUUUGUGGAUUUGGCUUUUCUCCACAAUAUCAGCAUCUUGUAGUUUGCGCUGCAUGCGUUUUCUUUUAGUCGUUUUUAUUAGUACGUGUACAAAAUGCCUCGAGCGCCUGCGCAGCCCAACUCCAAGCGCGCCGUUUUGAACAAAUUCACUGAUGCCGAAUCGGAAAACCUUCUUGCUUUUGUGAAAGUGAAUCGAUCGCUCUGGGAUACAAAGUCGAAAGAGUAUAUUGAUACAAAGAGCAAGGUGGACGUAUGGAAUGCAAUCGCUCAGUUGAUCGGAGAAUCCAAAACAGGCGACGACUGUAAAAACCAGUAUAACAACCUGCGCAGUACUUUCCAAAAAAAGUGGAAAAUCGUGAAGACGAAACCUAGCGGAAGCGAGGCCGAUAAAGCGAAGAAAUGGCACUUUUGGGACCAAAUGCAGUUUUUGGAUCUUCAAGCUUAGGAUCCGCAACAAAGACAGCGUAUAAUUGUACUUCUGGGAAAAGGAGAAAGCGCAAAGGUUACGAGCAGUUCAUCAAACAGCUAAGCGAAUCGCAGCGCAGAGACGACGAAUAAGCAGCUGAAACGUCGAAUGUCCUGAGAGGUUUCUUCGCAGAACAUGGAAAGCAGGGGAAAAAGGUUCCUACUACGGAGGAACUUUUUUGUGACUUCGUCUUGAGUACUCUGAAUUCGACCACCGCCGUGCAGAAGGAGCGCAUCAAGAAAGGCAUUCAGAAUGUUAUCGCGAAAGAGCUACUCAACCUUGAAAGCAGUAUUGAACGCACAGGAACCGAGUAAACGCAACGACAGAGAGUCGGCACAAGAAUCUCGAGAGACAGAAAUUGUAUUGGAACGGACUCAAUCGCGAUAACUUGUAAUGCGAUCUGUGUAAACUUACAUUAUCCUGCAUAUUUGUUUUAGUAAAAUAAGCCAUUUAUUUGUACAGUGGAUUUGAAAAAAUGAUGGAAUUUAUCGUUUUAUAUGUUGCAAACUUUUCACUUUUUUGUACGACGCCAUGGCGCUUAUUGUUUUUUAUUAUCACUAUACGAUCAAAACCGAAAUAUGCCAUAUUACAAUUUAUUAUUGUCACAAAAUA
Long non-coding RNA from Paramacrobiotus metropolitanus, 2777 nucleotides. RefSeq lists it as uncharacterized. Lineage: Eukaryota; Metazoa; Tardigrada; Eutardigrada; Parachela; Macrobiotidae. The transcript has 6 exons. The record is from RefSeq and is a predicted model, not a curated record.